RNAcentral lists this ribosomal RNA (494 nucleotides) under uncultured bacterium. RNAcentral describes it as "partial 16S ribosomal RNA". It matches the Rfam family "Bacterial small subunit ribosomal RNA", at positions 28 to 507 of the family's 1533-position model. The record is from RNAcentral.
GACGAACGCUGGCGGCGCGCUUAACACAUGCAAGUCGAACGGAAAGGCCUGCUUUCCCUUGUGGAUUGCGGGUACUCGAGUGGCGAACGGGUGAGUAACACGUGAGUGAUCUGCCCCCAACUUGGGUAUAAGCCUGGGAAACUGGGUCUAAUUCCCGAUAGGACUGCAGGGUGGUGCCUGUGGUGGAAAACGAUUUUCUAGUGGUUGGGGAUGAGCUCGCGGCCUAUCAGCUUGUUGGUGGGGUAAUGGCCUACCAAGGCGGCGACGGGUAGCCGGCCUGGGAGGGUGGACGGCCACAUUGGGACUGAGAUACGGCCCAGACUCCUACGGGAGGCAGCAGUGGGGAAUAUUGCACAAUGGGCGGAAGCCUGAUGCAGCGACGCCGCGUGGGGGAUGACGGCCUUCGGGCUGUAAACUCCUUUCGACCGCGAGGAAGCCACCUGGUUGGAAGGGUGGUGACGGUAGUGGUAGAAGAAGCACCGGCUAACUACGUG